AAAUAAAUCAAUAUUGAUUUUUUUUUUAUCGAGCGUUAAAGUUUUGCGAAGCCAGGGGGCGGGACUACUUCAUUGACAGUCCGGUCUGGAAUGAUUGACAGGUCCUAUGGAGGAGGCAGCAGAGACUCUGCUCUCCUUGUUUGGAUUAAUUCUGAUAUAAUAACUGUUGGUUUAUUUAUCGGUGGAGCAGCAGAACAUUUUCCACAGACAGUUUUCCUGCCUGUUGGCUUGUUUUAACCAGUUUUCUACCUUCGGCUGAUUCUACCAGCAGACACUGAAAGGACUCUGAUAGUUCGAGUGAAAGUAGCAGUUCCUCCUUAAGGUCAGAGAUUGCAACAUCUGAGGGCCUCUUCAAAAGAAGACGUAGUUGAUGAAGGCGUUCUGGAGCAGGACCAGAAAGACCACGACCAAGCAGCCUUGGAAUCUUAGGCAGCAUCUCCCUCAGCUUCAGCUCCAGAGACGGCAGGCGGGACGAGUCAACGGAGGCCGGGUGGACGAAGGCAUGCAGCUGAGUACAAUCCAGAAAACAACAGAGGAGGAGUGCAGCAGCCAGAACAACCAGAGUAGCAUCGUAUGUCUCUUAGAAAACAUCAUAGUAUAGCCUUUGGUAUGAAAAAACGCCAUCAUAUACAUCGUAUAUUGUACAAACAACAAGUCAAAGGAAAGAGACAUACAUUGUAGAAUUGUAGUAAUUGUGG
This is a long non-coding RNA of Amphiprion ocellaris (clown anemonefish), 698 nucleotides long. NCBI's taxonomy places the organism in Eukaryota, Metazoa, Chordata, Actinopteri, Pomacentridae. The record is from Ensembl.